UCGGCGUGGCAGCUGGCGCGCCUUGGGUCGGGUGCGGGCCGGUUUCCGUUGUCUUUCAGUUCCCGCAAGCAGAAGGCCCCAGCGAGAGCACCGCAGUACUGUGUGGGAGCCUGGCUUCGCUCGGCGUUUCCUUAGUCCUCUAGCUGCUAGUGCUGGGCAGCCCCAGCUCCCUGCAGGGCCUGCUGCAGUCUCAUGAUGCCUUGUGUGUUUGAUGCCAGCCUUCCUAAUGCAACUGGGUGCAAACAGAACUGUGGCGGUGAAGGGCUGCUGGCUGCUUCGUGCCCUGUGCAGGGAUGGAAUCAGAAUCAUUAAGGUUGGAAAAGACCUCUGAGACCAUCUAGUCCAACCAUUAACCUGCCACCACCAUGCCUGCUCAGCCAUGUCCACCUGUGCCACAUCUCUGCAUUUCUUGAAUACCUCCCUGAGUAGCCUAUUCCAGCAAUUUGUCACUCCUUCUGAGAAUAAUUUUUUUCUAAUACCCAACCUGAACCAACCCUGGUGCAACUUCAAGCCAUUUCCUCUCAUUCUACUGCUGUUACCUGGGAGAAGAGGCCAACCCCUACCUCACCACAACCUUUCAGGGACUUGUAGAGAACAAUAAAGUCUCCCCUGAUUCUCCUCUAGACUGAACAAUCCCAGCUCCUUCAUCUGCCCCCAUUUAAGAAUUGUGCUUCAGAUCAUCCACUGGUUUCAUUGCUCUUCACUGGCUGUGCCCCAGGGCCUUGAUGUCUUUCUUGUAGUGAGGGGCCCAAAACUGAACACAGUACUUGAGUAUCAAGUACUUCUUUGCCACCUGCACACACUGCUGGCUGAUGUUCACCUGGCUGUUAGCUAACAUCCUCAGAUCCUUUUACUCUGCGGUACUCUGCAGCAAGAGAAAAGCUGAGUGGGUUCUGUAGCUAGACUUCAACCAAGGAGAAAUCUAGUCCAUGGCUUUUCAUCUGAUAUAAAGUGCAUUAUCUCCCUUGUUUGUAUAAAGGGAGAAUGUAUGCCAGUAUCCUCUGUUUUUUUCAAAGUCUCUGCCUGAGUUCUGGACAAAAGGAAUGUGUUUGAGGCCCAGCCCUGGUCCUUGUAGACAGAGAGCGCACAUGGCUUUCUGACCCACAGCACUGAAAAACUGAGAGGCUCUUUCAGUUCAGCGGAUAGGAGGAAAGACACAAAGCCCUGCUAAGAAUUUUACGGAAGUUUCUCAGCAUUUUGAAACUCACAGAGGGAUUUGCGGUCUCAUUACAAUUGAGUUUUCCGGUGGCAUUUAGCUCAAUUAUGUCACCUUUCACAUCUUAAGAAGACAAUGUUCAAAAAGAGGGGCUGGCAAAGAGCUCAGGAAGGCCGAGGUCAUGCAAUGACUGAUGUCUGUGUCUGAUCCUCAGAGGAGCAAAGCACGGCAGAGGAGUGGUGGGCAGAUGUCCUAGCCAAAAGCUUAUAUGAAACAUUCACAUUAGAAAGAUUCCUUCCAUGUGUUUUGGAGAGUCAACGGGAGCUCAGAAGGUCUGAGCAGGCAGAUGUGAGGCCAUGGGGUAGAGUGACAGCUGACAUGGCAAAGCCAGCCUGCUGCUAGAGGUUUUGUCCCUCCCAUGGUUGGAGCUGUCUCACCUCAUAGCCUUCAUGCCGGCACAGGGCACGGCCUUCCUUGUGGCACACAGGAUUCAACUCAAAAUGCUUAUGAUCCUUGUGAGGAUGCAAACACGCCUGUGGAUCAAUUAACAUGCCACAGGCAUGGUAUCAUGGCCGUUUAGCAGUGAGGCAGGAGAGGACAAUAAACUGAGAGAUUGUGUAUGUGUUUUUGUACUAACAGCACCAUUAUAUUCGAUAAGAAGGUCUCCUUCUUUGUCCUCUGGUGAGUGUAUGGCCUGCUCCUGAAGCAUAAACACAAGUAAAUCAUUAAAGCAUAAAUCAUGCUCAGUGCGCCAGUGUUACCUGUAACUGCACCCAUGUGAAUGUUUUGUGAUCAUUUUUCAAGGUUGUGGGGAAAAGUACAAACUCGUUUGUUUUCCAAAGAAAGUAGACUGUAAGCUCUGCUCUAGGUAGGUACCAUCUAACCUCUGCUCUAAGUAGGUACUAUCUAACCACCUCCAGUUCUUGCGGGAGAUCAUGAGGCUUUGAAUCAGUGGCUGGUCCAUAGGACCACUUUGAACCAAAGGCAUGAUGGGGAACAUUGAGUCCAACCAACUUGACUGAAGUUAGGCUGAAGUAGAAACUCCAAGGUGGAGGUAAGGUUUCUAGUGCUAGCUGCCUUUCUUCACUUGCUCGUGUCAGCUGAACUGAACUGCCAGCCAGGUUAGACACAGCCUGUGUUUAUGCUUAUGUGCCAGGCUACAGAUGACCUGUAUAGUAGGGCCCUUUCUUUGAAGGAAGUCUCAUGGCUUUUGAAGACAAGAGUAGAUGUAUCAAAGCAUUAAAUCAAUAUUUGAUUCUCUCUCCUGAGAUUGCAUUUGUUUUUAGAUGACUGUAUCGCCAGAAAUGUAUUCCUAUCAGGAAUAUCAGGAAUACAAUUCCUAUUUCUGAUAGGACUAGGUUUUACUGUGAGGUCAUAUUCCUCAUUGUCAUAGGUCUGAGAAAAACUUAAAACUGAAACUGCAGAAUAACAUUGUUCAGAACUCACUACUUUUACAUAUUUUCUAGUUAAAGUUACUGUUUUAUUUUUGUUCAGAGGGAUUUUUUUUAGGGGAAAGAUACCUUUAGUGCUUUCCCUAAAUCAGAAAAGAAGUGGCAGAGAAGCCUCCAAACUGCUUGUAAAUGCGUGAUUUUAACUCGCCAUCUGGAGUUUUCAGGUGAGCUGAUGUUUGAGAACUGCCUCUUCUCAUGUCCAGCAAAAACAAACCACCACAAAAUUAAAACUUCCUAAGUCAAAACAUUUCAGCAUUGCACACGUGCCUCACAGUACUAAUUAUAAAGCAUCCAUAGUGAUUAGCUAUUUUGUCACAAAAUUAUGCUCAGGGCUGGAAAUUCUGAGACACCUGAGCACUUUAAUGGAGUGUGACUGAAGUAGGUCCAUUUGGGAAUUUAUUUUGUGUUCAUAAGGUAGUUGAUACUUCUUCGCACCAGUAGAUAGUGGAUCAGAUCCCUUAAAUCUGCUAUUAGUUUUUAUCUGAUUAGGUCACUUGAGAGCACUGAUUAACUUUUUAUCUUCCUACUGCCUAAAGAAAUAAAAUAGUGUAAUAAUGGUGUCCAUUUAGCUCAUAACCUGUACUGAGGUGUCCUGGGAAAAUGUUCACAAAACUGAUUCUUUCUGAGUUCUAGAUAUUAAAAGUAUUAAACAUUUUUAAUAAACAGUUGGGCUAUUUUUUAGGUUUGUCUGUCUGUCUUCUCAUUCAUCUCUUCUGUUUAUGGAAUGAAUGUGGUUCUUGUGUGCUUCUUUUCCAGUCCAGAUCAUAUUUACGGUCAUAAAACAUAAACCCUCGGAUUCAUUACAGAAACAAAAUUGUAUUUGGAACCUAAGAACAAGAACAGUUUCUUACAUCUUGAAGUCAGUAGUUUGCUCAGCUGAUGAGCUGAGGAAAUAGGUCAUUUUAGCUGUCUUGGGCAAAAAGCAGUGAUUACUAAUCGUUUCCUUUCUAGCAUGUUUUCUGUUACACUACAUUACUUACUCAUAUACCAAACACUGUCUGUUUGUUUAAUGGAAUAAUAAGACACAGAGAGGACAGCAGGAAAUAAUUAGACACAAUAUCUCUACUUUUGAUAGAAGAAUAAUCUAGUCCAGGAAUAUCUUGAAGCAGGGCAGUCUAUGGAGAUGGAAGUCCAUAUGGAUCAUAUAUGAUCCUGUAAUGUAUAUUAUGUUGUGUACUAUAACCCUCUGCAGAGGAUUGUAAUAUGAAUGAUGAAAUGUAUCAUUAGAAAAUUUCCUUGUGCCUGGUAGUAAUAUGUGCCUUUAGCAAUAUGUGCCUUUAACUUCUGUUUAUAUAACAGGGUCAAAGUCUGCAGUUGUCUCCGUAGCAGAUUGUAUGAGGACAAUGCACUUUAGCUUCACUCAUGCUGCCAGAAAUGCAAUGUGCAGUCCAAUGAUUGAGAAGCAUUCAACAUAGAAGAAAUUCAAACUGGUGGUUAACAAAAUUUGUGAGCCCACUGCUCCAUGAAGGAGAGACAAAGUUGGUGUCCCAGCCUACAGAAUGGCCAAUGAUUCUGAUCUCUGAAUGGCCUUGGGCCGGAAGAGAGUAGAUGGCAACUGUCCUUUACUGCCCGUUAUCUGAGAAUUUGGAAGGAUAUCCCUAUGGUCAUCUUCUGCUUCUAUCCUCAGUUAUUCUUCACCUUGCAACAUCUGCUUGCAGUCAGAAGUUUAAUUUUUAAUGGAAUCUGGUGCAUAUUUCAAGCUCUUUCUUCAACAGUAGUUAAAACAAUAAGAUUUUAAUUUCAAAAGGUUGUCAAACUAUGACUGUGUAAAUUCUCAGGAUUUAUAUUUAUUUACAGAAUCUUUAAGGUUAUAUUCAGAUUCAUAUUUAAUAUUGAGCAAUAAAUGUGAAAAUCAUCUACUCACUUUUUUAGUGGACUGGCCAGGCCCAAAGACUGAUUUUAAGGAAUCUCCAUGACCCGGCUGAAGAACAAUGCAGCCUUUCUUUCCUCAAACUCCAGUUCUGCAGAAUGGAAAGAAAUAUGCCUGGCCUCUUCUUUUUCUGCAGGGCCAAGGAAACACAUAUAUACAAAACCUUUUCUUCUUACAUGCGAACUAGGUCUAUAUAACUGCAGUUACUGUGAGCUCGUUCUUCUUCUGAAGAGGCUUCAUCUCAUGGGGUUGGUAGAACUCACCUUGUCUUAUUGGAACCAUGUUCUUGGGCUGUGUGCCUGGCUGUACCUUCUAGGCUAUUGCAGUUCAUAACCAGAAAGAAUACAGAAAUGCUGUGAGAAAAGGCUGUAUAUAUAACAUUCUAUUGCAUAAAGAGAUAGAGCUGAAAGAAAAGAUCAGAAAAAAGCCAAAGGAAUUAGGGUUGCCAGGCAGACAAAUGUCCAACUAAUCAAAUUCUAAUUAACUACAAGCUCAGUGUGAAGAAUAAAAAUGAUCUUUCCUGUUGUCCUGUGUCCCCUCCCUAAGGCCAGUCUGCCUGGCCUCAGCUGGCUUGUCAAGUUAGAUGAUAAAGAUGAUGGUCCUGCAGGAAGCCCAUGUCUUUCUUUUUUGGCUGACAUAAGUGCACUGGGAGCUCCAGGCAGAUGUUUCCCAGCUCAUGAUGUGGGAGAAUCUUCCUAUUAAUACUUAGAAGACCAAGAUAAAAAGAAUGGCAAUUUUCAGUGGCACAGGAGAUCUGGGUCAGUCAGAAGUGCCUAACUCAUUUUGCAGGUAAGUAUCACAAUGCUGUCCUGCGUCACCUGCAGCAGGAGACCAGCACAGAAAGUGCCUUCUACCACAGGACAUCAAGGAAUUUUUGUUCUGCACACCUUGUCUACAGUCUGGCGUGUUUUCCACAAUUCACUGAGACUUGCAACCUAGGGUAAUCCCAGCUGCAUGUAUGAUGUGUGAUCUGGAGUUAAAAAAAAAAAAACCUUAUUUUUAUUUGGGGUUGUGUUCUGAGUCCAAAACUGUAUCUUCUUCUGAAAUGACACCAGGCACAUGACUCUGCAGCAUUUCCAAAAUGAGGGAACUGGUAGGUGCAGCUGGUCUUAAGCUGGAGGCUGUCAGCAGGGACUCAUGCCCAGCUGCAGCACCACUAGGGCAAUGCUGUGCCAUGUCUUAGAAAAUUAAUCCCAGUGUCUUCUUUCUCAGCGCUGGAAUUGCAUACAUGCUAAUACAGCCUUGCAGGAAGCUGUCUGGACCAGGCUCUGCCUGAAUUAAAGAUUUCUCUUUUUAAGUGUAUGUAGAGUGGCAUCUGCAUUCCUUAGGGACUUCAGUGCUUAUGAACCUUGUACACUACAGAAAGGACUGCAUUGUCCUUACAUCGUGCCUGAGGCUCUGGCAUUGUUUUAGGAUCAGAGUGAGGGAAGAAGGAGAGAGAUCUCCUCUUUAGCUUUCUAAUAAUCAAAGCAAACAUAUACAAAUGUUGCGUUUUCUCAUCAUAGGGGAAUUUAAGCCUUUAAACAGAGAGCUUUUGUUGUUGUUGUGUGCAGAGUUUCUCUUCAGUAAUUUCUAUAGUUACUUAGGAGUGUGGAUGUAUCUGUAACUGAUGCUGUUCUGAUGUAUUCUGUUGUAGGAUAUUUUUGCUUAAUCUAAAUGGAAAAAAAAAGAAAAAAGAAAAAAGAAAAAAAGAAGAAUUUGCUCACAGACAGGAUGUUCACUCCAACCGAUUAGUUUAGAAGUAUUUAGAGAAAAGAACUUUGAAACUAAGUAUAGUCAUCUGUUUGUGUGUGGAUGACGUUCUUAUGCAAGGUCUCAGAAGUUUAUUUUUCAUUUAUAGAUUUUUAUCUAUUUGCAUCAUUUGCGUCUCCCACAAAGAAAUAAAAGGGAAAAAAAACCCAACAAAAGCCAGUUUCAUCUGAAAACUUGAAGUGUCUCCUCCAAAGCCUGGUUAUUUUGGAUUAUUUGAGAAAAUAAAAUAGAAGUAUAUUCACUGAUAGAAGAAUGCAAGCUGCUCUUACAGUCUACUUAGUAUCUUAUAUUACUUUUCAAAAUGCUUACUACUGAAAAAUGGAUUGACCCUUGGCCAUCUCUCUUCUGUCCUUGCAGGGUGUUCACCUCCUACUCAAAUAAAGGGAGUGUAGAUACUGGGUAGUUAAACGAUGUCUGUUCAGUUUUUUUUCUCUGAUCAGGGAGACAAAUCAAUAUGUCCUAUUCAAACAAAUGUAGUUGUAGAUAAAGGUGAAUGUGUAAAUGAUAAAAAUCUAAAAGCAAUUCAACUUCAGCUAAUAUAAAAAUUCCACUUUAGUAUGCUACUUGUAGAUACGCAAAAGAGUCAGGAUGAUCAGGUCCUCUGUAAAAGGAAGCUGUGAUGACUGAUGAAAGAGAAUUCAGUUUGCAUAACCACUCGUUACUGGCACUGUCUAGUAGUUGACAGAUUUCAGUAGAAGAUGUCCCUGAUAAAUUCUGUAAUUUUGAUCAAAUGCAUUUCAAAAUAAAAAUAAAUUUGAGAUUUUAAAAAUUUCCAGUACUUAUUGCACUUUCUUUCAAAUCCAGUACAAGAGGCCCUGUAAGCUUGUUAAAAACAUGUAGAUAUAACUAUGCUUAAUAACACAACUACUGGCAUUAUCCCUUCUCUCAGCACUUUUGGCUGUCAUUCUUUUCUGUAGUUUAAAAGCAGCAUUAUGGAGGGACAGGGAAGACUAAGCCAAGUGUUGCUCAUCAUUUGCGUGUGGGUACAAAGUACCUUAGGUUCUGCUGGAUUCUCUUAGAUUCCCCCAGCAUUCUUAUCAAUGACAUACACAUUGGGACCCUCAACAACUUUGCUGAUGACACCAAGCAGAGUGGUGCAGUUGACACGAUAGAAGGAAAGAAUGCCAUCCAGAGGGACCUAGGCAUGCUCAAAAAGGGGGUACAGGAGAGUCUAAUGAGGUUUAACAAGGUCAAAUGCAAGGUGUUGGACUUAGGUUAAGGCAAUCCCAGCUAUGAGUGCAAGAUGGGAGAAGAUCUCAGUGAGAGCAGCCCUGCAAAGAACUUGUGGGUCUUGAUGGACAUGAGUGUAUGAGCCUAUGAUUCUCUUGGAGAUUCGCAUCCUUAGCGUAUGCACUGCUCAGCAACAAACAAAGCAUUGUUGUGUUAUCAACAUUAUUCUCAAUCUAAAUCCAAAAAGCAUAACCAUGCCAGAUACUAGUAAGAAAAUUAACUCCAUCCUAGCCAAAAGCAGGACACCGUUCAAAGCCAUAGGAAAAAAUCUGCAGUGAGGGAGGCUCAUUUUGGUGAUGGGUAAUGACUUGGAGGUGUCCACUGGAGAUGUUAAAGGCCAGGUUGGAUGGGACUCUGAGCAACCUGGUUUAGUACUAGAUAUGUUUAGAUAUAUUUAGUACUAGUUGGCAGCCCUGCCUGCAGCAGGGGGGUUGGAGCUUGAUGAUCUUUGAGGUCCCUCCCAGCUCAAGUCAUUCUGUGAUUCUGUGAUUCUAUGACUUGAGAGUUUGCUGAUUAAGAUCAGCCCUGCAGAGGGAAAAAGAUGUGAAUUUCUUGAACUGGUAGAAUUUUGUUGUGAGUGGCCAUGGAAAGGUCUUUAUCCUUGUUAGUUGAAGGACAGAAAAAGAUUCCAUAUUUUAAAUGUGGAUCAUGUGAGGCUGAUACCUUCUAUCAGACUCUCCACGAAACAGCUGCACGGCACUAUGGUUGUUGCUGUAAGCAACAGCCAGUAGUGAUGUAGUUAGCAGGAAUGGCUAAUGAACCAGUAGUAGCAGACAACUUGGGCACCACGAACAGCACUUUAGUGAUUGAAUUGUGCUGAACUGUACCACUCUGACUGAGCAGAUAUUGGAGUUUAUUGGAGUUGUCAAAACCAAACAUUCAUCAAAGGUAACAAGGUUACCCCCCUUCUAGCUGAAAUAUGCAGAGUCUAAUUCUUCAUCACUCUGGUCCACCAGGAUGGGAAAUAUCUUUCUAGCUACUAAGUGUGGAAGAAGGCAGGCUAGGUCAGGUCUUUUGCCAGUCUGCUCUGAAGUAUGCUGUUAUUUUUUUCAGUUUUUUCCAAGUUAAUUUUUUCCCAGUUGGUUUUCUUGCAAACAGAAAGCUAUUCAAUAUUCUUAAAUGCCUAUAAAAUACAAUUUGGUUUAUCAGAUGCUCUUAUGUUCCCCGAAUACCUAGCUGCUAAUCCUUAGAAAACUUGAAAGGUUUUCUGAUUUUUAUUCCUCUGUUAAAAAUUAGUUGAAGAUGAUCAUACGAUUUAAAAAGUGUCAGGCAAGGACAAACGGAUGGACUGGUAGAGUGGGAGACUGCCUUAUAUGUUUAGGAAACGCUUAUUCAUGCUCACUGUGACCUGUGACAACUAUGCCUUCAGCCUGCAUAUUGGUCUAUGAAAUAGAAUAACAAAAAAAAAAUCUUUAUUUUUAUCAGAUAUUUUAUAUCAAAUUAUUAUCUUUCAAGUUAUAUUUCUAUAAAAGCAGAAUGGAUUCAUAAGACUUACUAAUGUAGACAAAUGUAGACAUUUCACUAAGGCCUAUUAUGAUAUACAAAAGCACAUACAAAAAGAAACUAUGGUCAUUGAUUGGCUCAGAUGAAUCACUGGGAAUACAGUGUAAGGAUCAAUAGCAUUUGCCUGAAGAUUAAUCUCCCUGUUAAGUUUAAGUAUUGUUUGAUUCACAGCACGCCAACUCUCUAGGCAAAUUCUUUUAACUUUGAGCUUUGGUAGUGAAAGAUGUUAUAAAUGCAGUGAGUUAAUUUGCCAUCCCCAAUCCUUGUCAUGUGAUCUUACAGCUCUGGGGGCUCACGUAUCCAUUGGGUAAAGUGACAAGGCUCUGUUAUGUGCACUGAACUGAAACUAUGUGAAUAAAGCACAGCCUUUAAUGUUUUGGAGUACUGUGUUAUGUACUUUGACAAGUUUAGUUGAAUCUUAAUUAUUUAUAUAGCUCCAGAAUGUAAAGUGAUUAAUUUCUGCAAAAAAAGUAAUUGCCUUUGCUGCAUGAGAGCAAGUGCUGUUAGUAAGACUGUGACAAAUUAAGACCUGUCACCAACAGGCUGGCAAUGGCUGCUUGUUUCCACUGGGGGGUAUCUUUGUUUCUGUACCGAUUUUAUAUAUUUUAGCAUAGAAAAAUCCUUUUUUAUCCGUAUGCGACAUUAUAAUUAUUCACUUAAUAGUCAUCAUGCUACAAUCACUUCCUUGUGUGUAUUAAUUAAGAUGACUGGGUGAAGAAAGUGCAUUUCUUUUAGACUGCUCUGUGCUGUUAGGGCCCUGCUGCUGAUCAGUUCUAUGGCAUCAUCAAUGGGAGUCAGGGUGAACAGAGCGAGUGUUCCUCCUGUAGCAGUUUAACAUAGAUUUUCCAGGCUUUCAGCAUAUCUCCUAAGCAUGAAAAUAGGAACUAAACUGGCCAAGGACAUGCUCCACACUGUGAAACAGCAGAUCCUUACUGCGUUUGAUAACCCUAAUGUGACAGAAAUAUUCCUCUGGUAGCUUUGUGCUAGAUUGAUGAGAAGCAGUUAUUUGCAAUGUUAAAUCUUGGGCUGAUCUGUUGCUCAUAGUGGUCAGAUGUCCAGAAUCUAUUUUUGGACUCUGGCUGCUGAGACGUGAUUCAGAAGAGACUGCUUAUUGUGAGGAAAUUAUGAAGCCUUGGUUUUUUUGUGACAUAGGCAAUUCUGAGACAGACUUGCUACUUCAUUUCAGAAUUUGCCUUCUGAAGAUAGAUAAUACGUAUAAGUUUUUAAAUGAUUAAUCCUGAAAUCCUCAUGUUCACAUUAUCACUUAGGUCAUUGGAGAUGGUGGUGUAUUAUUGCUCUGGAGAGAUAGAGUUGAGAAGAGUCUGAGUUUUUACUUUUGAAAGUCCAGUCCCCCUUACCAGCCAAAGUCAUUCUUCAGAAACUGAUCUUUAUUCUUUCAUUCUAUCAAGUGGGAUUUCAUUUAUUUAUUUAUUUAUUUAUUUUAAAAAGGAAUAUUUUCAAGAGUGAAUCAAGCUGAUACUCAGUUCUCCAUUAACUGACUGUAAAUUUUUGGUUUUGUUUUAAAUACAAAGAUACUUACUAACAUGUACUAAACCACUACAUCUAAUGGGAUUUCCUCUUCUGCCGAAUGUCAGUGCAGAAAUGGUUAGGUCAGCCAGGGACACCAGAUUUCAUGAAAGAAUCAUUGUUAAAGCUCCAUGUGAAAUCUGACUAAAUUUUUUUGUACAUUUUAUAGUAGGUCUGACAGUUCUAGUCAUAUAACAAAUAAUUGAAUGUGUCUUGAUAUUUCUUCCUAACAUUUCGUUAUUCUUCAUGCACAUUUAGACACAUUUGGAGAACAGGAUUGGGAAAAAAAAACACCACAGAUAUUUUAUAUUGAUUAUGACACAUGUAUUGAACUGGAUUCCUCCUGGUGCCUCUGGGACUUCAGUAAUAGUAUAGAUUAAAUGUUUUUGUAACUACUGUCGUGUUUGCUGCAUUUUUUUGCAAAACACAUUUUUGCAUUGCAUUUUUUGGCCAGCUGUUGAGGUAAAGCAGGCAAUGCCUUUUGUCUAAAGGUAGUGGUGUCCAGUGGAUAGGAACUAAGGUGCUCCCCAAGAGAGGGUCCUCUCCAGUUUCUGGAUACUUCAUGGUUACAAAAGUUGCCUCCAAAAGUGUUGGUUAAUAGACGAUUGGUAAAACUGAGGUUUGCAAUUACUUUUUUGCUGUUGAUUUCUAAAACAUCUCUAAGAGGUUUCCCACUUAGGAAAAGAUACUUGAGGAAUCUAAAAAGAAAUAAGCUUAGUUUGUUUAUUAUGUGCAGCCAUUCAGGCUUCUGACCGAAAAUUUCUUAAGCACUAUUACACGUAAUGAUAAUUUGGAGACUUGCUCUGUAACCACAUAGUGUUAAAUGGUUCCUGGGCUGUUGCUGAUGACACUGGCUGGUCAAUGCACAGCAUCUGCUUGGGCUGCCGAGCCCUGUUUCUUCUCUGUCUCUGCAUGCAGGCACCUUAUUCUCACUCAGUAAAAAUCUGCUGCAACAUAGCUUCCAUGGCUUCCAUAGAGAGUCAUUUACUUGCUUCACAUUGCAGAAUAAGUGAAAAUAUUAAUAUGCAUUUGCAGAGUAAAAUGUAAUGUGUUCAUUAGCAUUAGAAAAUUAUGAAUGUUGAUUUCUUUCCAUUGGAUAUCAGGGCACCAAAGGGCUCCCCUGGUGGGACGGGUAGUGAUGGGUCCUGCCUGCCUGUCCUCACCAGGAGCAAGGCACUGGGGGCACCAGGGCAGCCCCAGCCUCCGGCAAUGGGCACGUCCCUGCCCCUGCAGCUGGGCUGAGUCCAGGCCAUGACUUGGGCUUGAGCCUGGGCCCAUCUGAGUGGGGGGCUAUGGCCAGGUACAGAUGGGUCAUGGCCUACAACAUGGCAGAAGCUGUAGCUCAGGUGGACGCUGCAGGACAGAGGCUAAGCUUGAAUGUGGCCGCGUGGGCAGAGGUCAACCUCACCACUGUCCCCAGACACAGGAUGAAGGAGACAACAUACAGCUGCUCUGGCCCUGAGCCCAGGGAGCCAACCCUCCAGGAAAGGCUCUAACAAAGGAGUAUCCCCCUGACACAGAUUUAUCAAAGUUAAAUUAUCUGAGAUUGGCUGGUCACUGGAUAUGUUUCAUGAGAAUUAAUUGAUAGAAUAGAGAUUUAUAUGCAAUGCUUAUUUUUAAUCUUUUACAGAUGCCUAUUAAUCUAUCCUCUUUACACUUCCACACUCUCAGCAGAAACAGUUCUUACAAAUCUGUAUGCUGGUUUUCUGUUUUAUCUAAGAAGAAAACAGAGAUUUGUUGUCUGCCUGCUUUGUUCACAGGGAUAAAACUGCUGGAAUCCCACGAGCCUGCAUCAGAAGGCAUCUGGGAGUUAGACAAGCCAUGCAGUUAAGCAGAUUAACGAUGAUUCCUUUUCUUCAGUCUGGCAGCAGGUGUCUGUAACUGAUUCUGAACUUUGCAAGAUGAUACUUUAUCAAAUAAAUGUGCUGUCAAAGUUAAUUAGUUACUUUUUGUUUUACUAUUCAUCCCCACAAUGACAACCUGCCAACAGUGAAAAGUGCUCAGAAAAAAACAUCACUUACUGAAUAUCAUGUACGCAUGAAAACAGACUUCUGGAAAAUAAAUAUGAAGGUUAUAUUGGAUUUUGCUUCCCUGGUUGUGGCCAACAAUAUAAAUGAUUAAAAGCUUUUGGAAAUUUUGACCAUUCUGGCACAUUUCAGGGGUCUGUCAUCUGUCUUCAUUUGAAGAUGUCUCUCACCCUUGCAGUGAUGCCAUGCACGCAAAGAAACCUAUGAACUGUGCUUGAACUGUGAUUACCACAAGACUGAGCAUUGCUGCCAUAUAUAUCACUUGUGAUGGUAUGGACAAAAACUGUUCUUCAAAACAAUUGGUGAAACAUGCCUUAGAUCUUAUCUCACAAUCUGCGAAUAAGGAUUCUACCUACUUGAUACCAUCUCUAACAAAAACAACACGGAGACCAUUUAUUUCAUAACUGCCAAACUGGUUCAAGACAAACACCUGCAUAUUCACAACAUUUUGAGCUAUCCUCCUACAGACAAGGAUCCUGACAUCGUAAGAAAUGAAGCAAAUAAAGUGUAUAGGAAAAUUCUCACAAUAGAAGCAGGGUGUUUUUUUCACUUUCUACCCUAUACUGACUGGGGACAGGGUUCACUGAAAAAGUCAACAGCAGUGUAAAAGACAGCAAACGCGUGACAGCAAUUGCAAAAACAAUUGUAUUGCUUACAAAGCAUUGUAAGGAUUACAGUGUAGGUUAUUUAUAUCUCAGUAAAUUAAAAUAAAAACAUAGUAGUUCCAUUUUUUUCUGUGCAAGUUAUGGUACUUGGGCAGGAUAAUUAGUUCAUUUUCUUUAGAUAUCUGAAAAGUAGCUUAUAUUAAUUAUCAUCAACAACUGAAUUGAUGAAUUGUGUUGUGCUUUUAUGAGCAGGUAAAAUCAGUUGUGCCAUUUUAUAGUUGUGAAAUCUGGAUGUCAUGUAGACUGCCAACAAAGACUCUGUAAUAUUGCAAACCCAAUAAACCUUUGACAAAAUAA
RNA transcript from Centrocercus urophasianus (Greater sage-grouse), 13478 nucleotides. It is a transcript of the gene named F-box and leucine rich repeat protein 7, with no coding region annotated. The transcript is spliced from 2 exons. NCBI's taxonomy places the organism in Eukaryota, Metazoa, Chordata, Aves, Galliformes, Phasianidae. The record is from RefSeq and is a predicted model, not a curated record.